This 1283-nucleotide long non-coding RNA is filed under the name Phoenix dactylifera (date palm). RNAcentral describes it as "long non-coding RNA (PDAC_LNC015155)". Lineage: Eukaryota; Viridiplantae; Streptophyta; Magnoliopsida; Arecales; Arecaceae. The record is from RNAcentral.
UCCCUGUGUUAGGGCUGCAUCCAGCCCUAGAGAGGAGUUCAGCCUUCCAUGGAGUUGGAGACGGCAGCAGCAGCACAGCAGCGGGCUCCCAUCCCUUUCUUCUCUUUUCUGAUUCCUCUCUCCCUUUCUCUCCUCCUUAUUUUUGUAUUUCUCUGGUACUCGGCCUCUAAGGAGAUGAUCUCCUGGGAUCCGUCUCAACCCCCUUUUAUAGCUUCACCAGCGAAGAGAUAAGGGUAGAGGAACGGCUGCCGCGUGCGUAGAGGAUGAAACCGACGCUGCUUCCACGCGGAGGAGAUGCGGACGAAAGCCUUGGACGCGGGAUGAAAUGCUUGAUUUUCGGAGAAGUUAAUCCUCUGUUCUGUUGGGAUGCAGGGAUUAAUCCGGAAGGAGCGUUUGAAGAAGCUGGGAGGUUGAAAACGGACGUGAUUGAAGCGGACGGCUGGAAUGCGGAGAUGCUCGCGCGGAAGCUUGGUCGCCGAUGCUGAAAUCACGGGAUGGUUGGGCUUUGGAGAUCAACACGCGGACGGCUGGAGGCUCUGGGAUGCGAACGGAUGAGCUCGGACGGGAGCUGGGAAAUCGCCACGAGAUGCGGAAGAGGCUGGCUCGCGGAUGCAAUAUGGCUUCACAAGCGGAGAAGACGGAUUGAAGCGGACGGCUGCAGGAUGUUGGGAGGUUGGGAGGCGAACGGAUCCUGAGUUUUGUUGGCGAUGAAGACGGGAUGGAACGGGAUGAAUGCGAACAGGGGAUUUGAGCUCAUCCGUGGAUGAAACGGUUGAAGCUGGGAUUUCGGUUGAAGGUUCCGGUUGGAUGCGGGAAGGGAUAAGGAUGAUGGGAAGAUAUGCAGAGGAGAGGAUUUGGGAGCGAAUGCAUGGGAUAGAGAUGAGUUGAUCUUGUGAACGCGUUCUGGUCGUGGAGAAGAUCUCGGCUGCUAGCUGGGAGAAGUGGUUUGGUGGAAGAAGUUGGGAGAUGGUGAUCCGGAAACAGGGGAGAUGAACUGCAUUCGGCUGAGAAGGAGGUCGGAUGAAUCGGGAGAAGGAAGAUCCUGGGAACAAAGAAGAUGCGUACGGUUGCUGGUUUUGGUUCGGAUGACACGGAGAGAACGCGGAGAAGAUCUGGGAAGUUGGGAGAUUAUCUCGGACGCGGAGGAGAGAAGACGCUGGAGGAAAUGGGUUUGUUUUGAAACAGGGGAAGUAAUCUGAGAUGAUGGAGUUGAGAUCGGGAGGUUGGUCACGGUUGGCUGGGAGCGUGAACAGAGAAUGGAUUGGACCACGGAAAGCUGGAAC